GCUUACGGCCAUACCACCCUGAGCACGCCCGAUCUCAUCUGAUCUCGGAAGCUAAGCAGGGUUGGGCUUGGUUAGUACCGGAUGGUAGACUGCCUGGGAAUGAAUACCAGGUGCUGUAAGCU
Oreochromis aureus is the source of this 122-nucleotide ribosomal RNA. NCBI's taxonomy places the organism in Eukaryota, Metazoa, Chordata, Actinopteri, Cichliformes, Cichlidae. The record is from Ensembl.